GACGAACGCUGGCGGCGUGCUUAACACAUGCAAGUCGAACGCUGAAGCUCAGCUUUUGUUGGGUGGAUGAGUGGCGAACGGGUGAGUAACACGUGAGUAACCUGCCCCCUUCUUUGGGAUAACGCCCGGAAACGGGUGCUAAUACUGGAUUUUCACUGGUCUUCGCAUGGGGGUUGGUGGAAAGGGUUUUUCUGGUGGGGGAUGGGCUCGCGGCCUAUCAGCUUGUUGGUGGGGUGAUGGCCUACCAAGGCUUUGACGGGUAGCCGGCCUGAGAGGGUGACCGGUCACAUUGGGACUGAGAUACGGCCCAGACUCCUACGGGAGGCAGCAGUGGGGAAUAUUGCACAAUGGGCGCAAGCCUGAUGCAGCGACGCCGCGUGAGGGAUGGAGGCCUUCGGGUUGUGAACCUCUUUCGCUCAUGGUCAAGCCGCAACAAUGGUUGUGGUGAGGGUAGUGGGUAAAGAAGCGCCGGCUAACUACGUG
RNAcentral lists this ribosomal RNA (483 nucleotides) under uncultured bacterium. RNAcentral's name for it is "partial 16S ribosomal RNA". It matches the Rfam family "Bacterial small subunit ribosomal RNA", at positions 28 to 507 of the family's 1533-position model. The record is from RNAcentral.